Molecule: RNA transcript, 1320 nt
Organism: Zingiber officinale
Lineage: Eukaryota; Viridiplantae; Streptophyta; Magnoliopsida; Zingiberales; Zingiberaceae
Gene name: SPX domain-containing protein 1-like
Exons: 5
Source: RefSeq, a predicted model, not a curated record
CCUUCACGAAAUUAACCUAGCCUCUCCACCAAAACUCCAAAACUCAUCUCCGCCGAAACCAACCUUCACCCCUCCAUCCAUCGACCAACUCCCACGUCUCCACCGUCAGCCGGCCAGCCACCAUCCCUCAUUCUGUCUUCUCCAAUCAAGCAGAGACCCAACAUCAUCUUCUCGACGCCAACAUAAGUUGUUGUCUUCUUCUCUAUCUUCCUCCUUUCCUACAUCCGGCCAACCACCUCCUCUCUAUCACCGCCGGUGGAGCUACUUACUCUCAUCUCUCCUGUUCAGGUUAGAAGAGGAGAGGCCAUAACUUCCUUUCAGCAACCACCGCUCUUCCAUCCAUCAUCCGAAAACUUCUACUUAGGUUAGAGGAGGAACUGAAGCCUUCCCCUUUCUCUCUUCGGGUUAGAAUAGAGGAAGCUCCACUCCUACUUCCGGUAAUCCCCUCUUUCACUGACUCUUCUCUUCCUCAUCAAGCUCUGGAUUCAUUUCCACCACAUCACCACCUCUCCUCUUCUGGGUUAGGAAGAGGAAAGCUUUAUACCUACCACCGACAGCCCCCAUUCCCUCUCCACUUCCGGUUAGAAGUGGAGAGUUCAUUUCCUCCACUCCGGCAGCCCUUCAUCGUCUCCAAACAGCUUGCUCCACUCUGGCAGCCCUCCAUAUUCCAUCUUCUGGUUAGAAGAGGGGAAGAUGUCACUUCUAGACAACCACUACAUCUGAAGGGACCACUAGGAAAAACACCAAAUUACCCAUUUCAACUGAUGCUCAAUUGAGAACAAUGCGAAAGGGAUCUGACGACCAUCUUGUUCUAAACAUCGAGUCUGGGUCUGAUCAUUCAAUUGCAGCAAAGUCUGAUGCUAAAGGGUUUCCAGGGGCCAUCUUCUGAUGCACCGGCCUAGUGCAAGGCUAGGUCUCAUGGCGUAUAUGAUCUUCAUGCAUCUAUGGUUGCUAGGAGUCAUAUUAUGAUAUGACCAAUAAAUUUAGAUAUGCAGUGGUAGGUGUUUUGUCCCAGUCUCAAGCCGACAAUUCUUUUUGAGUGUAACUAGUAGAAGUCUAGUGAAAAUACUGAAGAAGUAUGACAAGAGAACAGGAGCACUUAUCAGGCAGCCCUUCAUCGAAAAGGUGCCGCAGCAGCCAUUCUUUACAACUGAUCUCCUAUACAAACUCGUGAAGGAGUGUGUGGCUAUGCUCGACCACCUCUUCCCCAGCAACAACCUGUCAAUUUUAGCAUAAUGCGACGGACAAAAUGGAGUGCCAAAGCCGGCAUAAUCAGGUGGGAGGGUUCCGGAGUUGGAGGAGAUUAAAUAUAUGCAGAGC